UACCCGCAUGACUGUAAGUCGCGUUUGGAUAAAAGCGUCUGCUAAAAUGUCAUAUA
Non-coding RNA from Salmo salar (Atlantic salmon), 56 nucleotides. NCBI's taxonomy places the organism in Eukaryota, Metazoa, Chordata, Actinopteri, Salmoniformes, Salmonidae. The record is from Rfam.